UAGGGAAUCUUCGGCAAUGGACGAAAGUCUGACCGAGCAACGCCGCGUGAGUGAAGAAGGUUUUCGAAUCGUAAAACUCUGUUGGUAGAGAAGAACGUUGGUGAGAGUGGAAAGCUCAUCAAGUGACGGUAACUACCCAGAAAGGGACGGCUAACUACGUGCCCG
Molecule: ribosomal RNA, 165 nt
Filed under: uncultured bacterium
Lineage: Bacteria
Description: partial 16S rRNA
Rfam family: Bacterial small subunit ribosomal RNA
Source: RNAcentral